RNAcentral lists this ribosomal RNA (253 nucleotides) under uncultured bacterium. Its description in RNAcentral is "partial 16S ribosomal RNA". It matches the Rfam family "Bacterial small subunit ribosomal RNA", at positions 524 to 776 of the family's 1533-position model. The record is from RNAcentral.
UACAGAGGUCGCAAGCGUUGUUCGGAUUCAUUGGGCGUAAAGGGCGCGUAGGCGGCCCUCUAAGUCAGACGUGAAAUCCCGCGGCUUAACCGGGGAACUGCGUCUGAUACUGGAGGGCUUGAGUACGGGAGAGGGAUGCGGAAUUCCAGGUGUAGCGGUGAAAUGCGUAGAUAUCUGGAGGAACACCGGUGGCGAAGGCGGCAUCCUGGACCGAGACUGACGCUGAGGAGCGAAAGCGAGGGGAGCAAACGGG